Molecule: ribosomal RNA, 495 nt
Filed under: uncultured bacterium
Lineage: Bacteria
Description: bacterial SSU rRNA
Rfam family: Bacterial small subunit ribosomal RNA
Source: RNAcentral
CUGGCUCAGGAUGAACGCUGGCGGCGUGCCUAACACAUGCAAGUCGAGCGGAGUCAUAAGUUGAUUCUUCGGAUGAUUUUAUGACUUAGCGGCGGAUGGGUGAGUAACACGUGGGUAAUCUGCCCUGCACAGGGGGAUAACAGCUGGAAACGGCUGUUAAUACCGCAUAUGCACACGUUAUCGCAUGAUAGAGUGUGGAAAGAUUUUAUCGGUGCAGGAUGAGCCCGCGUCGGAUUAACUAGUUGGCAGGGUAACGGCCUACCAAGGUGAUGAUCCGUAGCCGGCCUGAGAGGGCGACCGGCCACAUUGGGACUGAGACACGGCCCAAACUCCUACGGGAGGCAGCAGUGGGGAAUAUUGCACAAUGGGCGCAAAGCCUGAUGCAGCGACGCCGCGUGAAGGAAGACGUAUUUCGGUAUGUAAACUUCUAUCAGCGGGGAAGAAGAUGACGGUACCCGACUAAGAAGCCCCGGCUAACUACGUGCCAGCCGCGGC